Molecule: ribosomal RNA, 460 nt
Filed under: uncultured Syntrophobacterales bacterium
Lineage: Bacteria; Pseudomonadati; Thermodesulfobacteriota; Syntrophobacteria; Syntrophobacterales
Description: bacterial SSU rRNA
Rfam family: Bacterial small subunit ribosomal RNA
Source: RNAcentral
ACGGAAGGCAGCAGUGGGGAAUCUUGCGCAAUGGGCGAAAGCCUGACGCAGCAACGCCGCGUGUGUGAUGAAGGUCUUCGGAUCGUAAAGCACUGUCGGGAGGGACGAAUAAGGGGUGGUCUAACAAGCCAUCUCGAUGACGGUACCUCCAAAGGAAGCACCGGCUAACUCUGUGCCAGCAGCCGCGGUAAUACAGAGGGUGCGAGCGUUGUUCGGAAUUAUUGGGCGUAAAGCGCGUGUAGGCGGUCCAUCAAGUCGGGUGUGAAAGCCCUCGGCUCAACCGAGGAAGUGCGCCCGAAACUAAUAGACUUGAGUGCCGGAGAGGGUGGCGGAAUUCCCGGUGUAGAGGUGAAAUUCGUAGAUAUCGGGAGGAACACCAGUGGCGAAGGCGGCCACCUGGACGGUAACUGACGCUGAGACGCGAAAGCGUGGGGAGCAAACAGGAUUAGAUACCCUGGUA